Long non-coding RNA from Rosa chinensis, 175 nucleotides. RefSeq lists it as uncharacterized. The record is from RefSeq and is a predicted model, not a curated record. NCBI's taxonomy places the organism in Eukaryota, Viridiplantae, Streptophyta, Magnoliopsida, Rosales, Rosaceae. The transcript has 2 exons.
GGCAGCGUAACAUCUUGGCUUUGGUGCUGCACAAAGAUUCCUCCAGAGCAGUUUCUUCACUUUGACGCACCGCGAUACAGGCAUCAAAAACAAGUGUAGUGCACCCUCUAGUUUGGACCUUGCUUCCGCCACCCAUACGCAGGACGCACCGCAGUAUAGGCAUCGAAAGAAGGCC